Gorilla gorilla gorilla (western lowland gorilla) is the source of this 66-nucleotide microRNA precursor. The record is from Ensembl. Lineage: Eukaryota; Metazoa; Chordata; Mammalia; Primates; Hominidae.
UUCCUCUGGCAAGUAAAAAACUCUCAUUUUCCUUAAAAAAUGAGAGUUUUUUACUUGCAAUAGGAA